GGGCCCGUAGCUCAGCCAGGAUAGAGCGCCGGCCUCCUAAGCCGGAAGUCGGGGGUUCAAAUCCCCCCGGGCCCGCCA
RNAcentral lists this transfer RNA (78 nucleotides) under Desulfurococcaceae archaeon. Its description in RNAcentral is "tRNA-Arg". It matches the Rfam family "tRNA". Rfam says of the family: Transfer RNA (tRNA) molecules are approximately 80 nucleotides in length. Their secondary structure includes four short double-helical elements and three loops (D, anti-codon, and T loops). RNAcentral also lists the same sequence under 2 other names. The record is from RNAcentral. Lineage: Archaea; Thermoproteati; Thermoproteota; Thermoprotei; Desulfurococcales; Desulfurococcaceae.